This 251-nucleotide ribosomal RNA is filed under the name uncultured prokaryote. RNAcentral describes it as "partial 16S rRNA". It matches the Rfam family "Bacterial small subunit ribosomal RNA", at positions 525 to 775 of the family's 1533-position model. The record is from RNAcentral.
ACGGAGGAUGCAAGCGUUAUCCGGAAUUAUUGGGUUUAAAGAGCACGCAGGCGGUUUAUUAAGUUAGAUGUGAAAGUUUUCAGCUUAACUGGAAAAGUGCAUUUAAAACUGGUAGACUUGAGUCUCGGAGAGGUAAGCGGAAUUCCUAGUGUAGCGGUGAAAUGCGUAGAGAUUAGGCAGAACACCGGUGGCGAAGGCAGCUUACUGGACGAGUACUGACGCUCAGGUGCGAAAGCGUGGGGAGCAAACAG